CUUAGCGACAGUGUCAUGGCAGCUCCCUGAGGCAGGAAAGUAGCACAUGUGUGUCGGUGAGUGCGCUCAGUUUAAAGGCUUGAACUGCGUUCGUGCUUUAAAUAGAAUAGUUUUGUUAUUGUGGGUGAACGUGACAAAUAUUUGAUAUUUUACCUAAUUCCUGUGUAGUUGUCUUAGUCGUUUGGCAUUAAUCGGUCUUUGAAUACCGCCGAUAAGUGACAGUAUUGUGCUAGGUAUGUGACAUUUCUUACAUACAUGCCAACAUUGCCCAGUGUAAAAUGACGACUCAUGCUUUCGAGGCGAUAUCAUUAUUUUUAAAACAACUUCCUGAAAUAUCCAUAUUUUUUUUUUUUUUUGCAGAAUCCAAGACAUCAACAGAUCACCUACAUCUCUCACCAUUCUGUGACAGUCAGAUAUGUGUUAAUCAGUUCCAAACUUCAAAUUUGCCUUGUAUGUAAACCUCAGGAUGGAGAGUGCCCAAUCAUGUGAUAUAUAUAUAUAUAUACCUCGUAUAUAUCAACUUUGUUUAUGUUAUGGUGCUUAAUAAAGCCGAAUUGCAAUUCUGUCAUUGUGUUUUUAAGUACGUCUGUCAAACCAUAUACACAAUGUACAAUGUCAGGAAAAUAAGUUAUGUGAAGAAACUUAAAAUUCAUUAUUUGUAAAAUUGACUAAAUAUGAAUAUACCUGGUCCUAAAAGCUGACUUUCUCUGAAUGAGAAAUAUUUGGUCAUAAACCCACUUUACUAGGUUUCCUGUGGCUAAUAAAAGCUAGAUAUGUAUUAAGUAUGUGGUUAAAAUAUAACUUUGAGUUACUGUUGGCAUGUAUGUAAAAUGUUUAAGAACCUUCUACUGUAUACCAUAUGCAUUUGUUUUGGGGAGUUUUAUUUACCAAACAUUGGGUUUAUUUAACAAAUGAUGUGCAAAAGAUGAGUAAUAGAGAUUAUUCCCCCCAAUGGUUUUCUAAUUGGGCCUGAUUUUUGCAAGCUAGUGUGUAUGUGUGUGUGUGUAUAUAUAUUUUCUUCAAUAACUCAUCGAUAAAUAAUUGACUCUGUGAUUAUAUGUUAAGUACAGUUCUGUGUAUUACAUAAACUAAAUUAUAUUUCAGGUCUUUCAGAAUUAUCAUUAACACCCUGUGGUAUCUGUCAUAAACUACUUGUCAGCCCACAUCUGAGGUAAUUUUAUCUGCUUAUCUGCCUACUCAUCUGGCUGCAAUGUGGGCUUCUCUGGAGCAUGAUAUAUUGAGGGGCUUCCCAGUUACAUUUCAAGAGGCAAGAUCAGAGGCACCGAUUAAUGGAG
This is a non-coding RNA of Pelobates cultripes (western spadefoot toad), 1295 nucleotides long. Lineage: Eukaryota; Metazoa; Chordata; Amphibia; Anura; Pelobatidae. The record is from the annotation of a GenBank genome assembly.